This 461-nucleotide ribosomal RNA is filed under the name uncultured bacterium. RNAcentral describes it as "partial 16S ribosomal RNA". It matches the Rfam family "Bacterial small subunit ribosomal RNA", at positions 338 to 795 of the family's 1533-position model. The record is from RNAcentral.
CCUACGGGUGGCAGCAGUGAGGAAUAUUGGUCAAUGGGCGGAAGCCUGAACCAGCCAAGUCGCGUGAGGGAUUAAGGCCCUGCGGGUCGUAAACCUCUUUUGCCGGGGAGCAGAGGUCCGGACGUGUCCGGGCCGGGAGAGUACCCGGAGAAAAAGCAUCGGCUAACUCCGUGCCAGCAGCCGCGGUAAUACGGAGGAUGCGAGCGUUAUCCGGAUUUAUUGGGUUUAAAGGGUGCGUCGGCGGGCAUUUAAGCCGGCGGUGAAAGUCUGUGGCUCAACCAUAGAAUUGCCGUUGAGACUGGGGGGCUUGAGUAUGUUUGAGGCAGGCGGAAUGCGUGGUGUAGCGGUGAAAUGCUUAGAUAUCACGCAGAACCCCGAUUGCGAAGGCAGCCUGCCAAGCCAUGACUGACGCUGAUGCACGAAAGCGUGGGGAUCAAACAGGAUUAGAUACCCUUGUAGUC